CUACUCUUGUAUCCUCCUUUUGACUUUCAGAGAUGAUUGUCUUCGGUUCGGCCGGGGGAGUGACAGGUGCUGCAUGGCUGUCGUCAGCUCGUGUCGUGAGAUGUUGGGUUAAGUCCCGCAACGAGCGCAACCCUCAUCGUAUGUUGCCAUCAGGUAAUGCUGGGCACUCGUGCGAGACCGCCGGUGAUAAGCCGGAGGAAGGUGGGGACGACGUCAAGUCAUCAUGGCCCUUACGAGUAGGGCUACAAACGUGCUACAAUGGUGGUGACAGUGAGCAGCCACUCCGCAAGGAGGAGCUAAUCUCUAAAAGCCAUCUCAGUUCAGAUU
Molecule: ribosomal RNA, 327 nt
Filed under: uncultured bacterium
Lineage: Bacteria
Description: bacterial SSU rRNA
Rfam family: Bacterial small subunit ribosomal RNA
Source: RNAcentral